Sphaeramia orbicularis (orbiculate cardinalfish) is the source of this 351-nucleotide long non-coding RNA. RefSeq lists it as uncharacterized. The transcript is spliced from 2 exons. The record is from RefSeq and is a predicted model, not a curated record. Lineage: Eukaryota; Metazoa; Chordata; Actinopteri; Kurtiformes; Apogonidae.
GAUUCAGUCUGGUGAUGACUGGGCAGCACCCAAAACACAACAUGGUCUCACAUGGAGGAAAUCUGCAGGAGUCUACCGUCUCAGCGGAUGAUUUCAUAGUGAGACGUGGGUCCACAUCACUAGUCUGGAAAUGGUUCGGUUUUGACAAGACUGAUGUCAGUCAAAAUAAGGUUAUAUGCAGCUGGGGCAACGUAAAGGGGGGUUAACAUGACAAAUUCAUGUGGAGGGGGUCCAGUGGAUACAGGUUAGAAGUUUUGAAAAUUUUUUUUACACCAUUUUUUGUUAAAAAAAAAAAAAAAAAAAAAUUCACAUUUUAAAGGAUAUCAUCAAAUUACCGUUAUUGGGAAAUUU